GCGGAAGUGGCGGAACUGGCAGACGCGCACGGUUCAGGUCCGUGUGGGAGCAAUCCCUUGGGGGUUCAACUCCCCCCUUCCGCACCA
Molecule: transfer RNA, 87 nt
Filed under: Candidatus Omnitrophota bacterium
Lineage: Bacteria; Pseudomonadati; Candidatus Omnitrophota
Description: tRNA-Leu
Rfam family: tRNA
About the family: Transfer RNA (tRNA) molecules are approximately 80 nucleotides in length. Their secondary structure includes four short double-helical elements and three loops (D, anti-codon, and T loops). Further hydrogen bonds mediate the characteristic L-shaped molecular structure. tRNAs have two regions of fundamental functional importance: the anti-codon, which is responsible for specific mRNA codon recognition, and the 3' end, to which the tRNAs corresponding amino acid is attached (by aminoacyl-tRNA synthetases). tRNAs cope with the degeneracy of the genetic code in two manners: having more than one tRNA (with a specific anti-codon) for a particular amino acid; and 'wobble' base-pairing, i.e. permitting non-standard base-pairing at the 3rd anti-codon position.
Source: RNAcentral